CAGCCGCCGCGGUAAUACGUAGGGUGCAAGCGUUAAUCGGAAUUACUGGGCGUAAAGCGUGCGCAGGCGGUUAUAUAAGACAGAUGUGAAAUCCCCGGGCUCAACCUAGGAACUGCAUUUGUGACUGUAUAGCUAGAGUACGGCAGAGGGGGAUGGAAUUCCGCGUGUAGCAGUGAAAUGCGUAGAUAUGCGGAGGAACACCGAUGGCGAAGGCAAUCCCCUGGGCCUGUACUGACGCUCAUGCACGAAAGCGUGGGGAGCAAACAGGAUUAGAUACCCGUGUAGUCCCUGUCUCUUAUAC
Molecule: ribosomal RNA, 301 nt
Filed under: uncultured bacterium
Lineage: Bacteria
Description: partial 16S ribosomal RNA
Rfam family: Bacterial small subunit ribosomal RNA
Source: RNAcentral